Molecule: ribosomal RNA, 334 nt
Filed under: uncultured bacterium
Lineage: Bacteria
Description: bacterial SSU rRNA
Rfam family: Bacterial small subunit ribosomal RNA
Source: RNAcentral
CCUGGCUCAGGACGAACGCUGGCGGCGUGCCUAAUACAUGCAAGUAGAACGCUGAAGGAGGAGCUUGCUUCCCUGGAUGAGUUGCGAACGGGUGAGUAACGCGUAGGUAACCUGCCUGGUAGCGGGGGAUAACUAUUGGACACGAUAGCUAAUACCGCAUAAUAGCAGUUAUUGCAUGAUAACUGUUUGAAAGGUGCAAUUGCACCACUACCAGAUGGACUUGCGUUGUAUUAGCUAGUUGGUGGGGUAACGGCUCACCAAGGCUACGAUACAUAGCCGACCUGAGAGGGUGGUCGGCCACACUGGGACUGAGACACGGCCCAGACUCCUACGG